Molecule: ribosomal RNA, 3060 nt
Filed under: Triticum aestivum (bread wheat)
Lineage: Eukaryota; Viridiplantae; Streptophyta; Magnoliopsida; Poales; Poaceae
Description: partial small subunit ribosomal RNA
Source: RNAcentral
AUGUCCUCCAACGUCAUGGAAGCCGGAGCUACACAAACCACCGAGCAGGGCCAUGGCGGAAGGGAGGCUGGCAGUGCAGCUAAAGACGAGGACUCAAAGCUGUAUGAGUUCAAGGAGCAGCUCCUGCUGCUGUCGACUCUGGUUGCAACGGUGACGUACGUUGCCGGGCUGAACCUUCCCGGGGGAUCCUGGGAGCAGGAUGACCCGGGAGGGCAUAUGGCCGGCGACCCGAUCCUUCGGGAUACCCACUACCGCCGGUACCUCGCCUUCUACUACUGCAACGCCACCGCCCUCGCCGCGUCGCUCGUGGUUUCCCUCAUACUCAUCAUCCUGCCGAAGAAGAAACAAUACUGGACACUGGUGCUGAGGAUGGUGAUGGUGCUCGACCUACUAGGCCUCAUGGGAGCCUAUGGUGCCGGGAGCUGCCGUGAUGCAUUCACGACUGUCUACGCAGCGGUAGCCUUCUUCAUUUUGGUAUUGAUCAUCAUUUAUGUUUUCUUAUACGUCUUGCUCAAUCGUGAUGAUGAGGUCCACCCCAACUCCACCCCCACUGCAACUCCAUCUCCAUCUACGCCUCCAAUUCCUACUCUGCCCACCCCAAGUCCAUCUCUAUCUCCACCUCCAAUUCCCACUCUGUCCACCCCAACUCCAUCUCCAUCUCCAUCUCCAAUUCCCACUCUGUCCACCCCAACUACAUCUCCAUCUCCAUUUCCAAACCCUGAUUCCUAUUCCUACUCUCACUCCAUCUCCAGUUCCAGCUUGAACCGUGACUCCAACCCCAAACCCAAGUUCAACUUGAACCCUCACUCCAACCCGAAACCCGAUUCUAACUCGAGCCCUGACUCCGACAUCAAACCCAACUCCAUCUUCAUCUCCAAGUCGACCUCCUUCGUCGAUGCCGUGAAGCGAGUCCAGGCAGAGAAUGAUGUGGUGAGGUCACUCGCUGACGUCAAGAUGCAAGCAGAGAAGGAGAAGAUUGAUGUGCUGAUGUUACUUGCAACCUUCGCAGUCACCAUCACAUACGUUGCUGGGCUCAGUCCACCUGGUGGGUUCUGGAGCAGCACCCAAGAUGGACACCGUUUGAGUGACCCGGUGUUACAAGCCCGUGGCCGGUACCGUGCCUUCUUCGUUUGCAACACCACUUCGUUUGCCGUGUCCCUGCUCAUCAUCGUGUUGCUCUUGGAGAAGAAACUGCUCAACAAGGAGCUGCUCAAGAAGGAGCUGCUCAAGAAGGAGCUGCUCAUUAUCACAGUUCGGUUCGCCCUCUAUGUGUUGAUUGCUGUCGCUUUGCUGGGCCUCAUGGUAGCCUAUGCUGCUGGGAGUUGCAGGGAGACUGAUAAUACUGUCUUUGUCCUUACCCUCACUGCUGUGGUUCCUAUCUGUGUGUGCCUCCAACUGGCAUUUGUUACUUGCACCAAUUGUUGGAAAAGACCCGCAACCAAGUUUGGUGAUGUCUUGGGAUGGUUCAAGACUCCUCGAGGCACCUCCACAAGCACGGACAUCCAGCUACACAUUCAUAACACCCGCUAUCUUGUUAUGCUCCUUGCUACUCUUGUGGUGACCAUCACUUACCAAGCAGGACUAGAUCCGCCUGGUGGCCUGUGGCUAGAUAGCCAGGAUGGGCAUACAAUCGGCCACCCGGUGCUCCAAACGACACAUCCUACUCGAUACCAAGUGUUCUUCUACAGCAACUCCGCAGCUUUCGUCACAUCCUUGGUCGUCAUCAUGAUGCUCCAGAGCAAGUAUCUGCUCACACGGCACACACUUGAAGCAGCCCUAGUACUGGACCUAUUUGGCCUCAUUACUGCCUACGGUGCCGGAAGCACCAGGGACGUAAACGCGUCCUUCUACAUCAUCGCCUUGGCAGGCAUUGUCCUCGUCUAUGUCAUUGUCCAUAUCACAAUAAUAGACCAUGCCCCUGAGCCAGAGGGUGGCGAUGUUGCAGUAAAGCAUCUCGAUGACAAACGCAAGGUGCUACUGUUGGUUGCUAUCUUGGCCGCUACCCUCACAUACCAAGCUGGUCUCACCCCGCCUGGUGGCUUCUGGUUAGCAGAUGACCAAGGGCAUGGUCGUCGUGCGGGCUUCCCAGUCCUUCACGACAAUUACCCUCGUCGUUACCAUGCAUUCUUCUAUUGCAAUGGGGCGAGUUUCAUGGCAUCCGUAACACUCAUCCUUCUUCUUGUCAAUCCAAAGCUAUACAGGCCAGGUAUACGUUGCUAUGCGCUCUAUGUGUGCAUGCUGGUGGGCAUGGUUGGCCUCAUGGGUGCCUAUGCCGCUGGAAGCUCCCGGCAUCUUAAAACCUCCAUCUAUGUAUUAUCCUUGGUUGUCGCAGUGUCAGUCUUCAUAGCCUUGCUGGUACCCCUUUUCCGGUACAUCUGCAAAGACAACAGCACCAACAAUAUCGCCAUUCCUGCCACCGCCACCACCGCCCCCAACAAUACCAGCAAUGCCGCCACCACCAUCAAUGCCACCGCCACCGCCAACAAUAUUGCCGCCGUCGCUGCUGCCACUUCCACCACUACCAUCAUCACUACCAAGGAGAACGAUAAACUUGAAUACUUGAUGUUGCUAGGAAUCUUGGGCGCAAGUAUGACAUACCAGACUGGCCUAAAACCACCGGGCGGCUUGUGGCAGGACAACACCAAUGGACACUCUGCUGGCAACCCCAUCCUCCACGACAUCAACAAGCACCGGUACAAUGCUUUCUUCUACAGCAACUCCACUUCCUUUAUGGCCUCAAUCGUGGUUGUCGUCAUGCUUCUUCCAUUGACAAUUCAAAAGAAGUUUCACGGUCACAAUCUGCCACUCUGGCCGAUGCACACGGCCAUUUUACUGGACAUGAUUAGCCUCCUGGUGGGCUAUGCAGCAGGCAGUACUAGGAAGUGGGAAACCUCCAGACAUGUCAUGUUCCUCAUCAUCCCUGUGUUGCUCUACAUUGCGGUCUAUGCAUUAGCGUCAAUCUUCUACCACAGGAAGAAACAACGUGUGUUGGAAAGGUCAACCCUGAUUCUACCCCAACUGGCAGAGUCAAGUGAUUCUUUGUCAGGUCAAAUUCAGUAG